CGCCUUUGGAAAAGAUCGAAGGUUCUGCCUGCCCGGUGAUUAUAUAUAAUUAAACGGCUGCGGUACUCUGACCGUGCAAAGGUAGCAUAAUCAUUUGCCUGUUAAUUUCAGGCUGGAAUCAAUGGCAAGACGAAGAAGAAGCUGUCUCUUUAUAUUUAAGUUGAAAUUUUCGUCUUGGUUAAGAGCCCAAGAUAAGUGAGUGGGACGAGAAGACCCUAUUGAGCUUUAAUUUGUAUUAUUAUAGUAAAAGGGGCUAUUAACAAAUUUUGGUUGGGGCAACGGUUUUUUUUAUUAAACAAAGAGGUAACGGAUGAGUUGAUUCUUUUUUGACCCAGAAGUUGGUUUUGGAAAGUAGAAAAAGUUACCAUAGGGAUAACAGCGUAAUUCUCCUUGAGAGUACUUAUUGACAGGGGAGUUUGCGACCUCGAUGUUGGAUCAGGUUAACCUAGGGAUGCAGCAGUUUCUAAGGGUUGGUUUGUUCAACCAUAAAAAACCU
This 496-nucleotide ribosomal RNA is filed under the name Asteroschema oligactes. RNAcentral describes it as "partial 16S ribosomal RNA". It matches the Rfam family "Bacterial large subunit ribosomal RNA", at positions 1827 to 2597 of the family's 2925-position model. Lineage: Eukaryota; Metazoa; Echinodermata; Ophiuroidea; Euryalida; Asteroschematidae. The record is from RNAcentral.